UACGUAGGGUGCGAGCGUUGUCCGGAAUUACUGGGCGUAAAGAGCUCGUAGGUGGUUUGUCGCGUUGUCCGUGAAAACUCACAGCUCAACUGUGGGCGUGCGGGCGAUACGGGCAGACUGGAGUACUGCAGGGGAGACUGGAAUUCCUGGUGUAGCGGUGGAAUGCGCAGAUAUCAGGAGGAACACCCGUGGCGAAAGCGGCUCUCUGGGACGGUACUGACGCUGAGACGCGAAAGCGUGGGGAGCAAACAGG
This 253-nucleotide ribosomal RNA is filed under the name uncultured bacterium. RNAcentral describes it as "partial 16S ribosomal RNA". It matches the Rfam family "Bacterial small subunit ribosomal RNA", at positions 524 to 776 of the family's 1533-position model. The record is from RNAcentral.